AGCGAACGCUGGCGGCAGGCCUAACACAUGCAAGUCGAGCGCCCCUCCUUCAAGCGAGCUUGGAGGAUUGCGGAGCGGUCUCCUGGGCGGGCGAAAGCUCGCUUGAAGGACAUCGUUUUGAGAUCAAGCGAGCCCUUUAGGGGCUCGCUUGAUGGAGGGGAGCGGCAGACGGGAGAGUAACACGUGGGAACGUACCCUUUGGUUCGGAACAACCCAGGGAAACUUGGGCUAAUACCGAAUAAGCCCUUACGGGGAAAGAUUUAUCGCCGAAGGAUCGGCCCGCGUCUGAUUAGCUAGUUGGUGAGGUAACGGCUCACCAAGGCGACGAUCAGUAGCUGGUCUGAGAGGAUGAUCAGCCUCACUGGGACUGAGACACGGCCCAGACUCCUACGGGAGGCAGCAGUGGGGAAUAUUGGACAAUAGGCGCAAGCCUGAUCCAGCCAUGCCGCGUGGGUGAUGAAGGCCCUAGGGUUGUAAAGCCCUUUCGGCGGGGAAGAUAAUGACGGUACCCGCAGAAGAAGCCCCGGCUAACUUCGUGC
RNAcentral lists this ribosomal RNA (539 nucleotides) under uncultured bacterium. RNAcentral describes it as "bacterial SSU rRNA". It matches the Rfam family "Bacterial small subunit ribosomal RNA", at positions 29 to 508 of the family's 1533-position model. The record is from RNAcentral.